This 434-nucleotide ribosomal RNA is filed under the name uncultured Coprococcus sp. Its description in RNAcentral is "partial 16S ribosomal RNA". It matches the Rfam family "Bacterial small subunit ribosomal RNA", at positions 341 to 792 of the family's 1533-position model. The record is from RNAcentral. Lineage: Bacteria; Bacillati; Bacillota; Clostridia; Lachnospirales; Lachnospiraceae.
ACGGAAGGCAGCAGUGGGGAAUGUUGCACAAUGGGGGAAACCCUGAUGCAGCGACGCCGCGUGAGUGAAGAAGUAUUUCGGUAUGUAAAGCUCUAUCAGCAGGGAAGAAAAUGACGGUACCUGACUAAGAAGCCCCGGCUAACUACGUGCCAGCAGCCGCGGUAAUACGUAGGGGGCAAGCGUUAUCCGGAUUUACUGGGUGUAAAGGGUGCGUAGGCGGCACGGCAAGUCAGAAGUGAAAUCCCAGGGCUCAACCCUGGAACUGCUUUUGAAACUGUCGAGCUAGAGUACAGGAGAGGUAAGCGGAAUUCCUAGUGUAGCGGUGAAAUGCGUAGAUAUUAGGAGGAACACCAGUGGCGAGGGCGGCUUUCUGGACUGUAACUGACACUGAGGCUCGAAAGCGUGGGGAGCAAACAGGAUUAGAUACCCUGGUA